This 1081-nucleotide long non-coding RNA is filed under the name Heterocephalus glaber (naked mole-rat). RNAcentral's name for it is "lncRNA (ENSHGLG00000049724.1)". The record is from RNAcentral. Lineage: Eukaryota; Metazoa; Chordata; Mammalia; Rodentia; Bathyergidae.
CUCUAACUCAGAUUCCAUUUUUUAAUAUUCAGAAGAAAACCACUAUUGCUCACAGAUGUUUCUCAAUCUGUAGCUUUUCUAUUUUAUCUUUUUAAAGCAUUUAAAAUGAUAGAUAGAUAAAUAAAUGAUAGAGAAAUAAAGAGGCACUUGUUGGCUUGUCAGUUAGCCUCACCAGUCUCUCUUCUUGUCAACACCAGCUGAAAUAGCCAAAUGAUUUUUUUUUUCAGUGACUUCAAACCAUUGAACUUCCAUGGCUCAUUUCCUUACCCUCCUCCACUCCUGUAUGGCAAUCAGGUUUUUGAUGGUUUAAAUACUCAAUCCUGAUAGAAACAUCCAGAGAAGGCAAAGGGUCCUUUGAGGCUCCUGUGCACAAGCCAACUGCUGUCAGCAGUGGUUCUCCCAGUCUUUCAUUCUAGGUAUAAAAGGACUCAGAGUGGAUCGUCCUUGAGAAGAUUCAGAAAGAAGUGUCUGUUGAGGACUAGGACAACAAAGAAAGAAAAGUUACAUUGUCCAAGCCCCAGAGAAAAAUACACAAAUGCCUUUCUUCUUAUAUUUUGGACUCCGAUGUAUGUGUGAGAGAAUUGAAUUCAGUCUUACAAGGAAGUCAAAACAAGAUUUUAAUCCAAGUAUCCCACCCACAAUAAUGUCAUCCAUUUUCACCGCCAAUGGCCUAGGUCAAUGAUGGCGGACCUUUUAGAGCUUUCAAUGAUACAAGCAGCCUGCUGUGACACACAUACCAUAGGUUUGCUACCAUUGCCUUAGGUCCAGGUCCUUGGCAUUUUCACUUGGAAAACUAACUGCAAAAGCAUUGAAACUGGUUUCUUUGUUACAAGUUUCUUUUGCCCCUGGCCCAUCUGCCUUCCAUACUGUUAAACUGACUGGGAACAGUGUAAGUUUACUAGAAUAGAAAUGAGUUCUGAUCGUUUCUAUGCUUAAAAUUCUUCUAUAGCUUCCAUGACCAUUGCGACAAACUUCAGAUUUGUUAGGCUAGAACUUGAGGUCCCUCCCUUGCUGUCUGGGCUCUCUCUGCACCUCUAGAAGAAUGCUGUGCCCCGUCAAGUCAAUCAAUGUACAAUUCUCC